RNAcentral lists this ribosomal RNA (253 nucleotides) under uncultured bacterium. RNAcentral's name for it is "partial 16S ribosomal RNA". It matches the Rfam family "Bacterial small subunit ribosomal RNA", at positions 524 to 776 of the family's 1533-position model. The record is from RNAcentral.
UACGUAGGGGGCAAGCGUUGUCCGGAUUUAUUGGGCGUAAAGAGCGUGUAGGCGGCCAGACAGGUCUGCUGUGAAAACUCGAGGCUCAACCUCGAGACGCCGGUGGAAACCGUUUGGCUAGAGUCCGGAAGAGGAGAGUGGAAUUCCUGGUGUAGCGGUGAAAUGCGCAGAUAUCAGGAAGAACACCCGUGGCGAAGGCGGCUCUCUAGUACGGUACUGACGCUGAGAUGCGAAAGCGUGGGGAGCGAACAGG